This 68-nucleotide transfer RNA is filed under the name Marmota monax (woodchuck). Its description in RNAcentral is "tRNA.Val". Lineage: Eukaryota; Metazoa; Chordata; Mammalia; Rodentia; Sciuridae. The record is from RNAcentral.
GGGUUGUGGCUAAGUGGUAGAGCGCUUGCCGCACAUGUGUGGGGCUCUGGGUUCGAUACUCAGCCCCA